AAUGUUUCAACAUGGGUGUGCGACUUCUUGCAUACAACGAGAAUAAAAGGUUGACAAGUGCUAAUGUGAUGGUUUCAAAGCAUUACAUGGACUUGAGAUUCAAUGUGAGUAAACUAUUUUUAUUAUACAAGUAUACUCUUGUGCAAUUUCUUAAGUAGUAUAUCCAUAGUAAGAAGUCUCUUUCAUGUUUCUAAAUUUUUUUUGUUUUCUGUAGAAACUGUAUGAAACUGCACAAAAGCCACGGUUAGAGAAGCUUAAUGUCCAAGAGUUGGCUAAAUCAUUAAAAAC
This 288-nucleotide long non-coding RNA is filed under the name Sorghum bicolor (sorghum). Its description in RNAcentral is "long non-coding RNA (SBIC_LNC004356)". Lineage: Eukaryota; Viridiplantae; Streptophyta; Magnoliopsida; Poales; Poaceae. The record is from RNAcentral.